GAGUUUGAUCCUGGCUCAGAUUGAACGCUGGCGGCAGGCCUAACACAUGCAAGUCGAACGGUAACAGAAAGCAGCUUGCUGCUUUGCUGACGAGUGGCGGACGGGUGAGUAAUGUCUGGGAAACUGCCUGAUGGAGGGGGAUAACUGCUGGAAACGGUAGCUAAUACCGCAUAACGUCGCAAGACCAAAGAGGGGGACCUUCGGGCCUCUUGCCAUCGGAUGUGCCCAGAUGGGAUUAGCUUGUUGGUGGGGUAACGGCUCACCAAGGCGACGAUCUCUAGCUGGUCUGAGAGGAUGACCAGCCACACUGGAACUGAGACACGGUCCAGACUCCUACGGGAGGCAGCAGUGGGGAAUAUUGCACAAUGGGCGCAAGCCUGAUGCAGCCAUGCCGCGUGUCUGAAGAAGGCCUUCGGGUUGUAAAGUACUUUCAGCGGGGAGGAAGGGAGUAAAGUUAAUACCUUUGCUCAUUGACGUUACCCGCAGAA
RNAcentral lists this ribosomal RNA (488 nucleotides) under uncultured bacterium. RNAcentral describes it as "bacterial SSU rRNA". It matches the Rfam family "Bacterial small subunit ribosomal RNA", at positions 9 to 486 of the family's 1533-position model. The record is from RNAcentral.